ACCUUUAUUCUAUGUCCUCCUAGAAUAUCCUGAGGAACUGGGGGAGGAGCCACCCAGCAUCAGGUCAAAUGUGGCAGCUCCUUCUACCACCAUGGUCCUCGUGGAUGAGGGAACUGAUGAAAACGGUGUGUGUACAGAAAUCAUCACCCCAGUGACGAACAGUCAGGGUGAGAAGAAGAAGCUCCCCUACCCCAGGAACCACUGGAAGAAUUGCCUGCCUUUGAGGGAGAAGAAGAGGCUCUGUCUGACACUGAGGUGAGCUCCCUUUCUUUAUCUCAGAUGAAAAUGCGGCUUCAUUUCUUUUUUCAGUCAAAGGCAGUUACAAAAUUCAGACCAUGUAUGUUAUAGCUGAUGUAUACAGUUUCCUUGGUUGGGGUAUGUUGAGGGAAAAUCAAUUACAACAGAGACCUGAUUCAUUAAAUCUUUCCCCAAAAGUUAGCAUCAAAUAAC
This 450-nucleotide long non-coding RNA is filed under the name Sus scrofa (pig). Its description in RNAcentral is "lncRNA (ENSSSCG00045023505.1)". Lineage: Eukaryota; Metazoa; Chordata; Mammalia; Artiodactyla; Suidae. The record is from RNAcentral.